AGGAUAAACGCUGGCGGCGUGCCUAACACAUGCAAGUCGAACGUCCUUAUGUUUCGCAAGAAGCACGAGGGAGUGGCGGACGGGUGAGGAACACGUGGGUGACCUACCUUACAGUGAGGGAUACCGGCGAGAAAUUGCCGACAAGACCGCAUACGGUUCUUUCUUCGAUGGGAGAACGAAAGCUUUAUCGUAAGAUGAGGUGCUGGAAGAUGGGCCCGCGGCCGAUUAGCUAGCUGGUGGGGUAAUGGCCUACCAGGGCAUCGAUCGGUAGCUGGUCUGAGAGGACGAUCAGCCACACUGGGAUUGAGAACGGCCCAGACUCCUACGGGGGGCAGCAGUGAGGAAUUUUCGGCAAUGGGGGCAACCCUGACCGAGCAACGCCGCGUGCAGGACGACGGCCUUCGGGUUGUAACUGCUUUUCUCUGGGACGAGAACGGACGGUACCAGAGGAGAAGCCCGGCUAACUACGUGCCAGCAGCCGCGGUA
RNAcentral lists this ribosomal RNA (486 nucleotides) under uncultured bacterium. Its description in RNAcentral is "SSU rRNA". It matches the Rfam family "Bacterial small subunit ribosomal RNA", at positions 26 to 522 of the family's 1533-position model. The record is from RNAcentral.